GCAGUCGAGGGAGAUUUUCGGAUUCGUCUGAUAGAAACCGGCGCACGGGUGCGUAACACGUAUGCAACCUACCCUUAACUGGGGCAUAGCUCAGAGAAAUCUGAAUUAAUUCCCCAUAACACUGCACUGUGGCAUCACAGAGCAUUUAAAGCUCCGGCGGUUAAGGAUGGGCAUGCGUUGCAUUAGCUAGUUGGUGAGGUAAUGGCUCACCAAGGCAACGAUGCAUAGGGGGUCUGAGAGGAUGAUCCCCCACACUGGUACUGAGAUACGGACCAGACUCCUACGGGAGGCAGCAGUAGGGAAUAUUGGGCAAUGGACGAAAGUCUGACCCAGCCAUGCCGCGUGCAGGAUGACAGCCCUCUGGGUUGUAAACUGCUUUUAUAUGGGAAGAAACCCCUGGAUGCGUCCAGGGCUGACGGUACCAUACGAAUAAGGAUCGGCUAACUUCGUGCCAGCAGCCGCGGUAAGACGAAGGAUCCAAGCGUUGUCCGGAUUUACUGGGUUUAAAGGGUGCGCAGGCGGACCUUUAAGUCAGUGGUGAAAUCCCGCAGCUCAACUGCGGAACUGCCAUUGAAACUGAAGGUCUUGAAUAUGGUUGAGGUAGAUGGAAUAUAACAUGUAGCGGUGAAAUGCUUAGAUAUGUUAUAGAACACCGAUUGCGAAGGCAGUCUGCUAAGCCAUCAUUGACGCUGAGGCACGAAAGCGUGGGGAGCAAACAGGAUUAGAUACCCUGGUAGUCCACGCCCUA
RNAcentral lists this ribosomal RNA (748 nucleotides) under uncultured Bacteroidota bacterium. RNAcentral describes it as "bacterial SSU rRNA". It matches the Rfam family "Bacterial small subunit ribosomal RNA", at positions 57 to 804 of the family's 1533-position model. The record is from RNAcentral. Lineage: Bacteria; Pseudomonadati; Bacteroidota.